CUCAGUUCGGAUUGUAGUCUGCAACUCGACUACAUGAAGCUGGAAUCGCUAGUAAUCGCGAAUCAGAAUGUCGCGGUGAAUACGUUCCCGGGUCUUGUACACACCGCCCGUCACACCAUGGGAGUCGGAAAUGCCCGAAGUCAGUGACCUAACCGAAAGGGAGGAGCUGCCGAAGGUGGAGCCGGUAACUGGGGUGAAGUCGUAACAAGGUAAC
Molecule: ribosomal RNA, 214 nt
Filed under: uncultured bacterium
Lineage: Bacteria
Description: partial 16S ribosomal RNA
Rfam family: Bacterial small subunit ribosomal RNA
Source: RNAcentral